Polyodon spathula (Mississippi paddlefish) is the source of this 529-nucleotide long non-coding RNA. RefSeq lists it as uncharacterized. The transcript has 3 exons. The record is from RefSeq and is a predicted model, not a curated record. Lineage: Eukaryota; Metazoa; Chordata; Actinopteri; Acipenseriformes; Polyodontidae.
GGACCCGGAGGCAGUGCUCUGGAGGAACUGUGAUGCAUUUCCAGGAUUGGGGGAUCAGGUUUCCUUAAAGCUAUCAAGUGCCAGGUGUGCUCUGAUCCUUUUCUCUGGCUCUUUCCAUCUGAGGGUUGCUUGGCUUUCUAACUGACCACCCAGACCUUCCCAAUGUGUGUACAGAAACAAUACAAACAAGUCUGUUUCUCAAGAUGACCAACUUCCUGUGUCUUCCAAUCGAUUCCCCCUGGAACCACACUCUCCUCUUCCUGUGAUUUCAGUUCCUGUUUAUAGGGGACUAUCAAUGAUAGUUAAUUGGUGUAAAUGGAAAACACUUGGCUGCUUUUGGAAUUGGAGAAUGGGACUAUUUUCUUCCUCUAAUCACUGUGCUUUCAUACAAAAUAACCACACACUUUUAGCCAAAGUAAUUUAACACAAUAAUACAAAAUAAGCAACAAUGUGCCUCCCUUUGGGUAAUAAACAAAACAUAAUGUGAAAUGUAACAAAGUGAAAAACCAAGAUAUGAAUAUUUUUACAU